GCUGGUGGGUAUGAGACUCAGCUAGUAGGAGGGUGACAAGAGACUCAGUCUAGAUCAGAAACAAGUACCAACAUACCAGGAAGGCUGUGUAAAAGGAAAUGCUCCCCAAUUAAAAAAACUAUGACAGGACUCAACCCUUUCCCUGGCCCCCCAAAUUUGAAGAUCUGAUCCAGAUUCCCUGAAGUACAACCUCAAAAUGAAGACUUGGCACUAAGAAAAAAGCCUCAGUACAAAGCCUAGUGAUCAUUGCUUUGUUUUUAGAGGAAAAAACAGGGGAGAAGGAGGUGGACCUUAGCUUGUUAUGGAAGUAAAGGAGCUUAAAGUAGUGAGGUAAAAGAAAUGAGGUGACUUGUCUAAGUUCAUAAAGGGAGUCCAUAGCAGUGAUGGGAUUCAAACCCUGGUCCUGGUCCAGAAUGAAGUACUUUUCUUACUGUGCCAGUUGCCAGAGUUUCAUUUGGGAGGAAAAAAAAAAGUUUCUUCAUUGUUAUGAUUUCAGAGAUUCUUUCCUUUUGAGUUCUAAGAUACAUUUCCUGCUCUGUGGGAAAGCAGUU
Molecule: long non-coding RNA, 551 nt
Filed under: Monodelphis domestica (gray short-tailed opossum)
Lineage: Eukaryota; Metazoa; Chordata; Mammalia; Didelphimorphia; Didelphidae
Description: lncRNA (ENSMODG00000030090.2)
Source: RNAcentral